This 221-nucleotide ribosomal RNA is filed under the name uncultured bacterium. Its description in RNAcentral is "partial 16S ribosomal RNA". It matches the Rfam family "Bacterial small subunit ribosomal RNA", at positions 943 to 1167 of the family's 1533-position model. The record is from RNAcentral.
GGUUUAAUUCGAUGAUACGCGAGGAACCUUACCCGGGCUUGAACUGCCAGUGACUCAUGCAGAGACGCAUGUUCUUCGGACACUGGCGGAGGUGCUGCAUGGUUGUCGUCAGCUCGUGCCGUGAGGUGUCGGCUUAAGUGCCAUAACGAGCGCAACCCUUCUCCCUGUUUGCCAUCGGGUCAUGCCGGGCACUCCAGGGACACUGCCAUCGUAAGAUGUGA